GUCUUUAUGUAAUAAUAAUUUAAAGUCUAACCUGCCCACUGAAAAUUUUGAAGGGCCGCAGUAUUAAUUGUGCUAAGGUAGCAUAAUAAUUAGUCUUUUAAUUAAAGACUAGAAUGAAUGGUUGAACGAAAUAUAAUUUGUUUUAGAUCUAUAUAUAUAAAACUUAUUAUUUUAGUUAAAAAACUUAAAUAAUUUAAAAAGACGAGAAGACCCUAUAGAUCUUAAUAUAAUUAUUUAAUAUUGAUAAUAUUUAAUUUAUAUUAAAUUGGGGUGAUUAAAAAAUUUAAAUAACUUUAAAAAAAUAAAACAUUUAUUUAUGAUUAAUAUAAAAUUGAUCUAUUUUUAUAAAUUAAGAUAAAGGAUACCUUAGGGAUAACAGCGUAAUUUUAAUUUUAAGUUCUUAUUGAAAUUAAAGAUUGCGACCUCGAUGUUGAAUUAAAAUGAAUAUUAAAUGUAGCCGUUUAAUUAUUAGGUCUGUUCGACCUUUAAAAUUUU
Molecule: ribosomal RNA, 495 nt
Filed under: Alloecentrella sp. BP8
Lineage: Eukaryota; Metazoa; Arthropoda; Insecta; Trichoptera; Calocidae
Description: partial 16S ribosomal RNA
Source: RNAcentral